CCAUUCGGGACCUGCCUCGUACCCAGGCGUCUCUUUGUAAAAAAACAGUGAUGCGCAUAUGACGAGUUUACAUGAAGUAUUGUAGUGGGGAGAGAUGGCGAAGGGGCUGAUGGGAAGAGUGCACUUGAACUGCGAGACGCCUGGCAGUUCUUGGUCGAUUUCUUGCAAAUUUGUACGAUUUCUUGCAAGUUGUGAUAUUUCGUUGUCGUUUACGAUUUUUUGCUACUUGUUUUUGUUGAAUUGACUAAUGUUAAUAUUCUUCUGUCAUCUGGGCGUGAAUUCAUGCUGUUAUUCUUGGUAUAUAUGACAUAUGCCUUAUUUAAAGUCCAUGGAAAUUCCAAUAUUAACAUGUCAACAACCGAAGCGUUGAAGAACUAGACUUGCAGGAACUAGAUUUGUAAGCUAUAACUAUAUAAAGGUACAGACUAUAAAAUUGCACUGUUGUAAUAAAUAUUUCAAACUUUACGGCUGUGAACUUUUAUUUACUUGGGCUUUUGUUUACAGUAUACAUUUAAUAGAAAUUGCCAUUGGCAUUGUGAUCGACUGAUUGAGCUUUCAGCUAAAGAAGUUAUUAAUACAAAAGCAAUUAUAUGACUUUCUAAUCAUUUCUCUGUUACUGUUUUAUGCUAAGCAACUGAUAGCAUUCUAUUAUUCUCCAUGUAAUACCGAAUGACAUAUUCGAAAUAUUCGCACGGUUAACUUGCCAUGUUAUUUACUCAUAAUUUUUCGCGCAUUUUGCAUGUCAUCGAACAUCUACAAAUGUAUUAUUAUUUGCCAAUGGCGUUCAAUUCAACUCUUCAUCACAAAGUAAGGUUUUACACACAGAGUAUAUGACGAUAUGGUAACUUUUUGUAUUAAAUUCCAUGUUUUCCCGCCAUGACAGUAUACAAGAACUGCCAGGCGCUCCCCAGCACGCACCCUUCCCAACAGCCCCUUCGCGCGUCGGCUGCCUACCUGAAUACUUCAUGUAAGCGCCUGGGUACGAGGCAGAUU
Non-coding RNA from Paramuricea clavata, 993 nucleotides. NCBI's taxonomy places the organism in Eukaryota, Metazoa, Cnidaria, Anthozoa, Malacalcyonacea, Plexauridae. The record is from the annotation of a GenBank genome assembly.